This 10746-nucleotide long non-coding RNA is filed under the name Gossypium barbadense (sea-island cotton). RNAcentral's name for it is "long non-coding RNA (GBAR_LNC020402)". Lineage: Eukaryota; Viridiplantae; Streptophyta; Magnoliopsida; Malvales; Malvaceae. The record is from RNAcentral.
CAAGCUAACAACGUCCUCUUCCUCGACAUGUGAGUAUGCCCUUCUUAACCGUUGCUGCACCUUGAAAAUUGAGCUAGAGCCUUCUCCAUCACCGGGUAUCUCAAAAGCUGGAAGAUUCUCGGAAAUGUUUUGGAGCUCGGUCUUGAUUGCUUUGACCUGCACCCCGAUUUUGUGCAGAUGAUAAGGUUUGGUGAAAAUGGAGGUGAACCUCUUGACAAUCCCAUGAGAAUCUCGUUGAUAUGCUGCUUUAAGAAUAAAAGAGUCGAUGACAUCUUCAGCAUCAUAAGCAAGAUCUCUGAUUUCCGACACCCGAUUCUGUAAACGCGCAUCUUGUUCAAGAUUGCGAUCCGCGUCCUUCAAGAAACACUGCGUUCGCUUCAGUUCAGCCCUUAGGCUCUCAACUUGAUCUUUCACAUCUUUGAGGAAAACAGCUUCAUGGAUGAGUAAAUCUGAAAUUCUUUCAACAGCUAAGGACACAAUAGCCUCUUCCAUUUCUCCUGCUCGUCCAGAACAGAUUCCACAAACUGAUCUGCAAGUAUUAGUAGAUUAUUUUAUGUAUUAGUGGUGGAAGUAUUUCUCUUCAUCAGAAGUUUUGGAGAUUUAUUUUUGGGGGUGAGGUUGAUAGUUAUUUUUCUUUGGACAGUAAAUAGCUGAACAUAUUAUUAUUAUGAUUAUUAUUAUUAUUAUUAUUAUUAAUGUGAAGAAAACGUAAGGUAAAGUUAUCAUCACUGACAUUAUAAAAUUAUUAUAAAAUUAAUAGGCCAACCUCAAUUCAAUUCUUCCAAAAAAAUAUUAUUCAAAUAUUCAAAAGUUUUUAUUUAAGUUACUAAAUUAUUUAAAAAAUUUUAUUUAAAUAAUUGAACUAUUAAGUCUGUUGACACCAUUUUUUUGAUGAAAACGGGGUCAACUUGGGUUUUAAAAAGUGAAAAUGAAAACGGGAAUCGCCACAAAUCCUUUUUGAUAAGGUGUGAUCCGGUCACCUUGAAAAGUGGUUGUAUUUAAUAAACGAUUUGACUUUAUUAAAACAACGAUUUUGGUCCACAAAAUUUAGAAAAACAGGUUUGAGAGUCGGUUAUGCACGAGGAAAUAUUAGCACCCUCGAUACGCCCAAAAUUGGUACCUAGUUGAUUACUUAUGUCUUAGUGUCGAAAAAUUGAAAACUUUAAAGAGAUUUAAAAUACGAUCCUAAAAAACUUGAAUGACAUGGAUUAAGAUUUAAGAGUAUAUUUGGCUAUUUGGUCCAACGAGAAAUCGAAACCCAGCACAUUAGGGCACGUUUUCUCGAAGUUCCAAACGCAAAACAUUGCCUUAUUUUGAAAUUAUUAAAAGGAUAUUUGGAUAUUUGGUCAAACGAGAAAAUCGAAACCCAACACAUUAGGGCACAUUUUCUCAAAUCUCCAAGCGCAAAACAUUACCUUACUUUGAAAAUUUAAAAGGAUAUUUAGCUAUUUGGUCGAACGAAAAAAGUCGAAACCCAGCACAUUAGGGCACGUUUCUCAAAUCUCCAAACGCAAAAUAUUACCUUACUUUGAAAAUUUAAAAGGAUAUUUAGCUAUUUGGUCGAACGAAAAAAAUCGAAACCCAGCACAUUAGGGCACGUUUUCUCAAAUCUCCAAACUCAAAAUAUUACCUUACUUUGAAAAUUUAAAAGGAUAUUUAGCUAUUUGGUCGAACGAAAAAAAUCGAAACCCAGCACAUUAGGGCACGUUGUCUCGAAUUUCCAAAUGCAAAACAUUGCCUUUAUUAUUUUUUAGAAAAAUCCUCAUCCCGAGAAAACAACGUGUCAUAUCCAAUGCGUUAGGACACAACGUAUUGAAUUCCCGAUAAUGAGCUUUUUAUUUAUGUUUUUAAAAGAGUAACCUCGAUUAUUUAGAUUCAACGAAGAAAAUCAGAACCCAAUACGUUGGGGCUCGAUUCUCUCGAAGAUCCCAAAUAUCGAGUAUUACUUAUGUUUUGAAGUUUUUCAUUUUUUUGUCAAACCCGAGUGAAAAUGGAUGUAAAACCAUGAUAAUGAUGAUAAUGUAAAUAAAUAACACGAGCGAAACAAAAGAUAAUUAAAUAAUAAAUGUAAAAACAAUUGUGCAGGCAUAAUAGCAAAUAAUAAACAGAUAAAAACUAAAGCAUGAAAAAAUAAUAGUAACGGACAUGUAAAUAAUUGAGCAAAGUUAACAACAUUAUAAAAAUAUAAAAGAUAUAUAUAUACAUAUAAAAUUAUGAAAAUAUGAAAAACAUAUGCAUGUAUACAUAUUUUAAAAUUAUUAUACAUGAAAAAUUAUGUAAAUAUGUAUGUGCAUACAUACAUACGUAUAUAACAAUUAUCAACUAUAAGAAAGUAUAUAUAUAUAUAGGUACGUACAUAUAUAUAAUAAAUAUAUAUAUACAUAUGGUUACAAAAAUAAGAAUAAGACAUGUAUAUAUAUACUCCAGGUUUAUAAAAUAUAAGAGUAUGUAAAUAUGUAUAUAUAUGCGUAUGAAAAUAAAGCUAACAGAACAGUAAUAGAAACUAGUUAAUGUAUUAAUAAAAUUGUAACGACUAAAUGAAAGGGAAAUAAAACUAAUAAAAAUUGAUGAUAAUAAUAAUAAUAAAUGAUAAUAACAUUAAAAUAAUGAACAAAAUAAUAAAAUUGCUACAAAAGGGACUAAAUUGAAAUGAAACAAAAAAACAGGGCGAAUUCGAAAUAAAAAGACUAAAAAGACUAAAUUGUGACACGCGCGGAAAGAGGGGGACCAAAAUGGUAAAUAAACCAAACCUCCAAAAAUGCGGCACUGCAGUGGACUAAAAUGAGACCAAAAUAAAACUUUGUGGCUAAAUUAAAAUAAAAAAAAUAAUGAAAAAGGGUCAAAUUGCAACGCGCUGCAAAGUUGGAAGGACUGCGCGCGGAAAUAUCCCAUUUGAAAAAAACGUGGAUCCUUGGCAGAGCGGGUCGGGUCUCGAGUCGGAUGGUACAAAACGAUGCCGUUUUGGCGUUUUAAAGGGCUGAGCAAAACGACGUCGUUUUGCUCCCCUAUUUAAACUAAUUUUUUUCAAAAAAAUUCAUUCUUCUCUCUUCUUGGCAAAAAAAAAAAAUCUCAAACACUCUCAACUCCCCUCCCCCUCUCCAGGCACCGGCCUCAGGUCCGGUGAAAGGAUCGUCGUCUGUCGCCGGCGAAGGGGCAAAAGAGUUUUUUUUUUAUUAAUGCAGGCGGUGUGAGCAAUGAAUGCCAUGUAACAUUGAUUUUAACAACUCAAUAACUUAAAUAAAAAUAUUCAAUAGUUUAGUGGUCAUUUUGUAAUUUUUUGAAGUUAAUUGACCAAAACGUAAACUUACUAGUAGUUCAGUGACCUUUGGAAUAGUUUACUCCAAUUAUUUAUUAUUUUCUGUGUUAUUUUUAUACAAUACCUGAAUUACCCAUAAAUAAACUUCACAAUUUUUAAAGUGGAAGAUAUUAGGCUAUUCUUUUUACUCAGCCAAUAUAAAAUUUUAUCAAGAAUGAAAGGACCACUUAGAAAAAUUUGAGAGAAAAUUGAUGAGUGAAAGAAAAUAAAACAAGCAGGGAUGUUUGAGUUUUAAUGGUGAUUUUCUUAAGAAGAGAAAUUUAUUUAUUUGAGGAGGAUAGAUACAUAAUUUACAUAAAAUAAGAUUCAAACUUAAACUUAAAAUUUCAAAAUUUAUAAAAUUAUUUUAAAAUUUACAUAAAAUAAGAUUCAAUUCAAUUCUUCCAAAUUAGUAUAAAAUUACAAAAUAUUUAAUCAUUCAAAGGCAAUUUUUAAAAUAAAAAAGCAAAAUUGCUUUAAAAAAAUGCUUUAGGUGGACACAAAAAGCAAUGGGUGUCAAAAUUCCAAAAGCGUCAACUGAUUUUCCACACAUUGGAAGUAAAAGUUGUUUGCAAUUUCAUUUCGUCCAAAUGACAACUACUUGAACACCCAGCAGUCGUUGCUCAUAAUUGAUAGGAUAAGACCAAAAGAAAAAAAAAUAAUUGUUUGGAUAAAUUAUACUCAAGUUCAUUAAACUAUUAAUAAAUUUAUAUUUUAAAUAUUUAAUUUAGAAAAAUUAUAGUUAUUAAACUAUUCAAUAGUUUUCUUUUAAGUCAUUAAACUAUUUAGAAGUUUUUGUUUAAGUCAUUGAACUAUUAAGUUCUUUUUUUUUAAAAAAAAGAGGCAGUUUGGCUAGCGAGGUUCAAGCGACAAUUUGAUGAACAGUACUAUGAAUCAAUACUCAUCAACGAAUAAAAGAACAUAUAUUAGAUCAUGUCAAUCUAAUGGUCGGUAUCCAAGAACAGAGGAGAGCUGUUUGGAUUUUAACACUGUUAUCUUAGUACAUAGAGUUUCCUGAAUUUACUACAUUUUGAUUUGUGUAACCUUAUUAAAACAAGUCUUCAAUAGAAAGUUGAGUCGCUACUUUGUUCUUAUUGUUUAUAGGAGGAAUAAAUUUCUUAAGCACACAAACUUUUGUGAAUUUAGAUUAAAAAGGGAGUUUAGUUCACAAAAUGUUUGAUUAACCCGACAAUUAGCGCAUUACUAGAUAUGUUACAGUACCGUGUUUGGUUCAAGAUAAAGUUGAAAUAAUUCUAGACUCAAAGAUAUUUAAUUAUUGGUUUGUUCUUAGUAAAUAGUAAAUGAGUAAAAAGUAUUUAAUACUUUAUGAUGAUUUUGACUAAAAAAACUUUAUGGAAUGAUUAAUAUCAUUGAUUAAACGGUUAAAAGUUUCAAAAUAAUUAAUGUCGACUCUUUUUAUAAAAUAUUCGGGUGGGAUGGGCGUCUUAUAGUUUGAACUUGUGUCAAAUGGGUACCUGAUAAAAAAUUUAAUCAUCACUCCAUAUAAGUCAAGAUUAAUAUAACUCUUUUUUAUAAAUUUUGUUACAAGAAAUCGUACAUAUUUUUGUCAUGUCAUAUAAAAGUAUACAUGUUAUAUGUUUUUGUAUCAUCUUACUUUUAAUUGAAAUAGUGAGUUGUAAAUUUAAAGGGGUUGUUUUACAAUUUAAAUAAUGAAUUUAACCAUUUAACAUCUAAUGAGUUAUUUAGAAUUUCUUUCUUUGAUUUAAAUUAGAUUAAUUUCAAUCAAAUAGAUGCAAAUGAAAAAACCAAUUAAUAAGAAGAUAAAUUUUUAGAAAAAUAAGCAAAUUGGGAGGCCAGAAGCGAGCAUUAGAUAUAUAACAAACAAUCACUUCAGUCAAAGCUCAUAGUAUAUAGCAAUCCAAUUCUUAUAAAAAAUACAUACACACACUUAAUGAAAUUAGAUAUCUCGGCAAAGUGCAUUCCAGUUGAUAAACUAUAAAAGUAACAUAUUUUAAUCCCAUUCUUAAUGUGUUGGAUGAUUUAUUAUUUAAUUUAGUGAAUUUGAUGCUCCUAAUCAUUUAAUUUCAUGUUUCUAUACUUAUGUGAGCAUAGGGGAACAAAAGGAGCGGAAAACGGGCCAAAAACGAACAAAACAGACCGAUUUAAGGAUCCACAUGGCUAAGACCAUUUCUGCACGGGCUGACCACACGCCCGUGUGUGCCACACGGGCUUGCCACACGCCCAUGUGCCAGCCCGUGUCGAAUUUGCUCCUUAUUUCCCAAACACGCAGAAAAUGCCAAUUUUUAGGGUUUCUAAGCAUUCUAAAGUCUAUAAAUACACACUAGAAGAGGACCUAAGGGGCACGCAAAGCUGAACGAAGAAAAGACUUGAAGAAUGCUAGUGGGUUCAACUCAGAAGUAGGAUCUCCUUCAAGACUGAAGAUCUCCAUUCAAUUUCUCUCGAAGUUUUUGGGUUUCUUUAUGUUUUCUUGUUUUCCUAAUUUUGAGAUGUUUUCCUCCCCAAGUAUGAACUAAAUUCCCUAGACAUCUAGGGAGGAUGAAACCUAAGGCUGAACUUAUUAUUUGAUUUUUCUGAAUUACAUGAUAAAUAUUUGUCCUUGAUCUCAAUUAUGUGUUCUUAUUUCAUGUUUUAAUGUUUUCAAGAUAUUAGUUCAUGAUUGGUGUGCUUAUUCAGUGGAGCAAAAGUCCCUAUUUAAGAGUAGAUCUAGCAUAAUUGAAUAGAGUUGCAUGCAAUCCUAGAAAUAGGACGACAUAAACCUAUCGAAUUAGAGUCAAAUCUAAUAGGAGAAUCCAUAGAUCGGAUUAGAGUCAAACCUAAUAGGAGAAUCCAUAGAUCGAGUUAAUACGAUAAUAGGGGUUUUAAUUAGAAAGAGAUUUCAAUUAAUCAACAUAGAGUUAGUUGUUUUUAUUCUCGAAACAGAUAUUAACAAAAGUUAGGGAUUUCUACAGAUCAAGACAAGUGAAUAAAUCGUUUAAUUCAGAUUUAGAAUAAUAAAAUAUUCGGGUGGGAUGGGCGUCUUAUAGUUUGAACUUGUGUCAAAUGAGUACCUGAUAAAAAAUUUAAUCAUCACUCCAUAUAAGUCAAUAUUAGUAUAACUCUGUUUUAUACAUUUUGUUACAAGAAAUCGUACAUAUUUUUGUCAUGUCAUAUAAAAGUAUACAUGUUAUAUGUCUUUUUAUAAAAUAUAUGGUAUUUAAUACUUUAUAAUGAUUUUGAUUAAAAAAACUUUAUGGAAUGAUUAAUAUCAUUGAUUAAACGGUUAAAAGUUUCAAAAUGAUUAAUGUUGACUCUUUUUAUAUAAUAUUCGGGUGGGGAUGGGAGUCAUAUAGUUUGAACUUGUGUUAAAUGGGUACUUGAUAAAAAAGUUUAAUCAUCAUUCCACAUAAGCCAAGAUUAGUAUAAAUCUGUUUUAUACAUUUUGUUAUAAGAAAUCGUACAUAUUUUUGUUAUGUCAUAUAAAAGUAUACAUGUUAUAUAUUUUGAUUGACAUUGAAUCAUCUAAUUUUUAAUAGAAAUAGUGAGUUGUAAAUUUAAAGGGGUUAUUUUACUACUUAAAUAAUGAAUUUAACCAUUUAACAUCUAAUGAGUUACUUAGAAUUUCUUUCUUUGUUUUAUAUUGAUUAAUUUCAAUCAAAUAGAUGUAAAUGACCAAUUAAUAAGAAGAUAAAUUUUUGAAAAAAUAAGCAAAUUGGGAGGCCGGAAGCCAGCAUUAGAUAUAUAGCAAACACACAAUGAAAUUAGAUGUCUCGGCAAAGUGCAUUCCAGCGCUGAUUAGGUAAACCUACAUCAAGAAAAAAAAUGGUAUGUAUAUAUCAUCAUCUCUCAUGUAUAAUAAUUAAAAAUAUGAAAUAAUAAAAUGAUAUUAAAAAUUUAGUUUUUCUAGAAAAAUAUUCAAAAUUCUUAUUUUUUUAUAUUUUAAUUAUAAUUUUUAUGGUAAUUGAAGAUAUAUUCUUCUAUUAUGUUAUUUUAUCAAUAUUAUAUCAAUCUCUAACUCUAUGGGUGAAAAAGAAAAGAAAAAAGAAUGUAAAAAUUAUUAUUUUAUAGAAAUAAAUACCUCACGUGAUGUUGGCCCUUGGGAUCGGAUUAAUAAUGUGGAUGGAGGGAAUGUGGCGCACUUUAUAGAAAUCCUCUCCUUCUUUUCCAUCUAUCACUUCAAUCCUUUCUUUCAAUGACGAAGAUAUUCCUAACAUUAAAUUCAAUUCUUGGAGAGUAGUAAUGUACCUCAAUCCUUCUGGAAGCAUUCUUAAACUCUUAACAUGGAUCAACUCCAAUUCUCGAAGGCAUGGCAUUGCACCUUCUUCUAUUUCCCACUCCUCCAGCUUUCUUAAAAUCAUUCCAAGAAAAUCAAGUUUAGGAAAUCCAUUUGCAGAGCACACCAUUUUACUCCCAAUAUAUGCUCCCUCCAAAUAGAGAAUCCUCAAAUGACAUAGCUUUUCUAAUACCGCCAUUGGAUCUUGUCUCAGCUCAUUAUCAAAGUUAAUUUGACAAUAUUUGAUGGAAGAAAUUUCAAAACAUGACCGUUCGGAUGUGUCUCAUCUUCUAUCCGACCCAGUAAUUUCAGUUUGGAGAGGUGAUAAUAUUGAGAAAGGAGUUCUAAGUCUAGGUGUGAGCCUGAGCCAUAAAAAAAACGUAAGGACACUGACCUAAGGCGUUGCAAUUUGGCUAGCAAGAUUAGGGUAGGCUUCACAUAUUUUGCUCUGGUAAAUGCUAUUCCUAAACUCUGAAUAUUAGUCCACCUAUGCACCGCAUUAUUUUCAACCGCCUUCUCAUCCACCACUAUGACCUUCAAAGUUUCAAUAUUUUUUGAAGUGAACCCUUGCCGCCAACGAAAUCCAUAGACAUACGAUUUUAUUACAAUAUGCCUUAAACGUUCUAACUUAAACACACCAUCUGGAAUUACAAUGUCAUCACAAAACUUGAUGUAUAAAGUGUAUAGAUUCUUCAACCUGCCAAAAGAUCGCGGCAAAAUCAUUUUGUUAUUGUAGUAUAACUUCAAGUAUCUCAAAUGUUGGAGAUUACCAAUUUCAGUCGACACAUUCAAUUCUUGGAGAGUAGUAAUGUACCUCAAUCCUUCUGGAAGCAUCCUUAAACUCUGUCCAUCGGCCAACUUCAAUUCUCGAAGGCAUGGCAUUGCACCUUCUUCUAUUUCCCACUCCUCCAACUCAAAUAACCAAGACAUUUGAAGAUAAUCAAGUUUAGGAAAUCCAUUUGCAGAGCACACCAUUUUACUCCCAAUAUAUGCUUGUUGCAAAUGGAGAAUCCUCAAAUGACAUAGCUUUUCUAAUACGACCAUUGGAUCUUGUCUCAGCCUACAGGUGCACAAAGUUAAAUUGACAAUAUUUGAUGGAAGAAAUUUCAAAACAUGACCGUUCGGAUGUGGCUCAUCUUCUAUCCGCCCCCAUAAUUUCAGUUUGGAGAGGUGAUAAUAUUGAGAAAGGGGUUCUAAGUCUAGGUGUGAGACAUCAAAAAAACUUAAGGACACUGACCUAAGGCGUUGCGAUUUGGCUAGCAAGAUUAGGGUAGGCUUCAUAUAUUGUGCUCUGGUAAAUGCCAUUCCUAAACUCUGAAUAUUAGUCCACCUAAGCACCGCAUUAUUUUCAGCCGCCUUCUCAUCCACCACCAUGUACUUCAAAGUUUCAAUAUUUUUUGAAGUGAACCCUUGCCGCAACCGAAAUCCAUAUAAGGGUAAUGUCCCAUUCAAUUUUAUUACAAUAUGCCUUAAACGUUCUAACUUAAACACACCAUCUGGAAUUACAAUGUCAUAACAAUACUUGAUGUAUAAAGUGUACAGAUUCUUCAACCUGCCAAUAGAUCGCGGCAAAAUCAUUUUGUUAUUGUAGUAUAACUUCAAGUAUCUCAAAUGUUGGAGAUUACCAAUUUCAGCUGACACAUGCCACUCUUCAUAACUGCAUUUUCCUUUUUGAAGAGUCAACACCCUUAAAAAUUCGAAGCUUUUGUAUUUUGAAAUGUGGAAUUCAACCGGUUCCACAUUUUGAGGAAACAACAAAGAACGUAAUUUUGGAUGUUCUCCCUUCAAAUAAACAAAAUUCCGUUCACUAGGAUGAAUAGAAAUUCUUCGUAGCAUAGAUUUUGCCAAUGUCACAUCAUAUUCAUGCAGUGGUUGUUGAAUAAUUUCCAAGAACUUCUCCUCUCUUGCUUUCUUCGUGCAUAAGUCUCUCAAGAGAUCAUGCAUUCGACAUGUCUCGACAUUUGUUCCUGUAUAGUCUCGCCUGCUAACUUGAACUAAGCUCCUAUCUAUAAGCUCUUCUAGGAAAUUUUCACCUAAAUCCUCCAUCAAGAAUUCUUCGGUUUUCGGAAUGAAACCUUCAGCGAUCCAUAAUCGAAUGAGUUCUUUUUUAGGUAUCUCCCAAUCUUCUGGAUAAUGACUAAGAUACAAAAAGCAUGGUUUUAAAGGAUAAGGCAAGUCAUUGUAGCUUAAAACCAAAAUUCUGUUCACUGCACCAUAUUGACGAUCUUGGUGUGGGAGCUCAUUUAAGUGUCCAUGGAUGUUUUUAUGAACCAUCUCCCAUUGAGCCACGGACUGUUUUGUUGCCAGCAAGCAACCCAACACAACAAUUGCUAAAGGCAAGCCUCCACAUUUUUUCACCAUCUCUUUUCCAAGCUUCACAAAUUCUUCUGAGCAGCAUUGAGAACCCAUUUUGCUCCGUGGGAAUGCUUUCUUACACAAAAGAUUCCAACUUUCAUCAUCCGUAAGAAAUGAGAGCUCGAUGGGAGUGUUGCAAGAAUCGGCUCGUGAAGCCACAUUCCUGUUGCGUGUUGUGAACAAUAUUUUGCUUCCCUUUCUUCCUCGUGGAAAAGCAGGUUUAAGAAUAUCCCAAUCCUCGCUUCUCCAAAUAUCAUCGAGGACCACCAAAUACCGCUUUUCUUUCAAAGCAUCAAAAAGCGUUCUCGUCAGCUCAAUCUCGUCCAUUUUCUCAAUUUUCUCCCUAUCAUUGUUAGAAGGAGAGAGAACUUUCUUCAAGACACUAAGCAAAACCUCUCUCGGCUUACAUUGUUGAGAGAUAGAAAACCAAGCCAAGAAAUCAAAAUGGCGUCUCACAUCAACAUGAUUAUAUACUUUUCUGGCAAGAGUAGUCUUACCGAGGCCCCCCAUGCCGACUAUGGAAACUACGGCGUGGGGUCUAUCUUCUUCAGUCAUCAAUUUGGUCAUGAUAUCCUUGGUGCUAACCUCCAAGCUAACAACGUCCUCUUCCUCGACAUGUGAGUAUGUCCUUCUAAACUGUUGCUGCACCUUGAAAAUUGAGCUAGAGCCUUCUCCAUCAUCGGGUAUUUCAAAAGCUGGAAGAUUCUCGGAAAUGUUUUGGAGCUUGGUCAUGAUUGCUUUGAGCUGCAACCCGAUUUUGUGCAGAUGAUAAGGUUUGGUGAAAAUGGAGGUGAAUCUCUUGACAAUCCCAUGAAAACCUCGUUGAUAUGCUGCUUUAAGAAUAAAAGAGUCGAUGACAUCUUCA